RNAcentral lists this ribosomal RNA (253 nucleotides) under uncultured bacterium. RNAcentral's name for it is "partial 16S ribosomal RNA". It matches the Rfam family "Bacterial small subunit ribosomal RNA", at positions 524 to 776 of the family's 1533-position model. The record is from RNAcentral.
UACGAAGGGGGCUAGCGUUGUUCGGAGUUACUGGGCGUAAAGGGCGCGUAGGCGGCGCACCAAGUCAGGCGUGAAAGCCCUGGGCUCAACCCGGGAAUUGCGCUUGAGACUGGUGUGCUUGAGUACGGGAGAGGAUAGUGGAAUUCCCAGUGUAGAGGUGAAAUUCGUAGAUAUUGGGAAGAACACCGGUGGCGAAGGCGGCUAUCUGGACCGUAACUGACGCUGAGGCGCGAAAGCAUGGGGAGCAAACAGG